This 253-nucleotide ribosomal RNA is filed under the name uncultured bacterium. RNAcentral's name for it is "partial 16S ribosomal RNA". It matches the Rfam family "Bacterial small subunit ribosomal RNA", at positions 524 to 776 of the family's 1533-position model. The record is from RNAcentral.
UACGUAGGGUGCAAGCGUUAAUCGGAAUUACUGGGCGUAAAGCGCGCGCAGGCGGUUUUGUAAGUCUGUCGUGAAAUCCCCGGGCUCAACCUGGGAAUUGCGAUGGAGACUGCAAGGCUAGAAUCUGGCAGAGGGGGGUAGAAUUCCACGUGUAGCAGUGAAAUGCGUAGAGAUGUGGAGGAACACCGAUGGCGAAGGCAGCCCCCUGGGUCAAGAUUGACGCUCAUGCACGAAAGCGUGGGGAGCAAACAGG